CAGGGGCAGAGACGCAGGGCAGGGACAGCCCUGGCAUCUCCAUGCUCAAGAGCCUUGAGGAACACCGGCAUCCCUGCCAGGGCUGAGCCCCCACCACCCUGCCUGCUCCCCACGGCCCCAGGUGCUCCCACCCUCUCCAGUCCUUCCCACGACACCGGGCGAGGAGAUUCUUGAGGAGGAUACAGGAAAGGCUGUGCAGGCGAGAGUGGGACAUCACCAACACCAGAGACCACGCAGGAUGGUGACCAGGACCAGCUGAUUAAACCACUCCGGACCCAGGGUACUCACCUGUGGCUGGAAAACCCUCUCGCGGCGUCUCUGCUGGGAGCAGGGCAGCAGGACCUGCUUUCUGGCUGUGCGUGGUAGGAGAUGACAGCGGCGUCUGGUGGAGCAGGAAAGGCUUUUGCCUAUCAGGAGAAACCGGGGCAAGGAGCAGAGCAACGGGAGAGGUUCCAGCCUGGCCCUGAGGUUCUUCCAGCACUGCUUGUGUGUGCAGCAGUGUUAACGUCUUUUGUCGCAGACACGGAGAGUGGGAUUGAGGGCACUCUCAGGAGCCUGUCUGGAGGGGCUGAGCAGAGCCUUCUGGAGAAAAGGUCUCACAAGGAGCGGCUGAGGGACCUGGGGUUGUUCAACCUGGAGAAGAGGAAGCUGAGGGAGACCUCAUUGGUCUCUACAACUGCCUGAAAGGAGGUUGGAGCAAGGCAUUCCUGGAGGCACAGAGCUCUGUGUGCACCUUCCCUGUGUGGCAGAGCUUUGAUGAACCUUGGGAAGCGCAGUCCUGGCCCAGCACGACCAAAGAACAGCGAUAAAAACACAGAACCCCCCAAUGUUCUCCGCGCACAGGGCUGAGACGGAGCCCAGUGCUGCCUUCAUGCUUCACUCUGAGAAGACAGCUGUUAAACCUCUUUUUUUUUCUCCUUUUUUUUUCCCCCCACAUCAGCAACUCUGCAGCUCACACACACCAGAGGCGUUUGCCAAGGAGUGCUCUGGCUUUCUCAUUCCAGGACUUCAAAGAUGCUAAGA
Molecule: long non-coding RNA, 1023 nt
Organism: Cuculus canorus (common cuckoo)
Lineage: Eukaryota; Metazoa; Chordata; Aves; Cuculiformes; Cuculidae
Exons: 6
Source: RefSeq, a predicted model, not a curated record